Molecule: long non-coding RNA, 615 nt
Organism: Salvia miltiorrhiza (redroot sage)
Lineage: Eukaryota; Viridiplantae; Streptophyta; Magnoliopsida; Lamiales; Lamiaceae
Exons: 2
Source: RefSeq, a predicted model, not a curated record
UUCCUUGUAAUUGGCGUAUUAGCUCCUUUAAUGGGCUAACUUUUGCGUUUGAACUCCAAGUAAAAUAAAGCUGAAAGCCCUUCAAAAACACUAGGCCCGGCCUAAAAUGAUGGAUUUCUCGAGGAAAGCUAACUGAGGCUCCCCCCUGGUUAGCUAAUCUAGGUUAUUGCGUAAUUUCGAUUCUCACAUAUUUGCCCCUCUUUUCAAAUUCCAAAUAUAUUCAUUUUCCCAUCUGCCGCUCAUUUGCAAUUGUGAGCAGAAAUUUCAAGGGAACAAGGUGCAACGAGUUCGCGCCGCCCCACACCUUCUUCUUCGAUCUACAGGGGUGCGCGAUUUGCUGGGUCUAUCGUCGCCGACUUCAAUUGCCGUCGAGCGGUGGUCGGCUGUUGUUCAAUUGAAUUUUCAACGGACUACUGUUAUCUGUUCUGUGAGUGUUUCAAGCCCAUUUUCUUUGCAAUUGACGAGUGUUUCAAUUCCAUUUUCUUUCCCAGUUCAAGAGUGUCUUACUGUGAAGUUGUGUAAAUGUUGGAAUGGUGACUUUGUUGUUUUGUUGCUGCUAUAAAAUGUAUGCACAUCGCAUUGCUCUUGUGUUUUAAGUUAUGCAUUUGUGAAUUA